Long non-coding RNA from Oncorhynchus mykiss (rainbow trout), 306 nucleotides. RefSeq lists it as uncharacterized. NCBI's taxonomy places the organism in Eukaryota, Metazoa, Chordata, Actinopteri, Salmoniformes, Salmonidae. The record is from RefSeq and is a predicted model, not a curated record.
CUCAGCCAUAGUGGAGCCUGAACGUCGAGGGGAGCUAUUAUCCUCAGCCAUAGUGGAGCCUGAACGUCGAGUGGAGCUAUUAUCCUCAGCCAUAGUGGAGCCUGAGGUCGAGUGGAGCUAUUAUCCUCAGCCAUAGUGGAGCCUGAACGUCGAGUGGAGCUAUUAUCCUCAGCCAUAGUGGAGCCUGAACGUCGAGGGGAGCUAUUAUCCUCAGCCAUAGUGGAGCCUGAACGUCGAGUGGAGCUAUUAUCCUCAGCCAUAGUGGAGCCUGAGGUCGAGUGGAGCUAAUGACGGUUUCAUUUCUAU